ACUCCGGAUGCCAGACGCGCUCCGCGGCGGCGGCGGCGGCCGCGCCUGAUUCAUUGCGCCAAAGCUGCAGAUGCGACCUCCCGCCUGCGCCCUGUGCCCCGGCCCGCGCCGGGCUGCGUGCGAGCCUGGGGAGAUGGGGGGUGUGGCAAUUUGUAGGCGCCCCCCCCAAGAGGCGGGACCCGGCCCCCCGGGGGCAGGUCCCCAGUCCCCAGCUCCCCGGGCUGCGCUAAUUAGCUUCCUCGGGGGGCGCCACGCGGUGUGAGGGGCGGCAAUUUCCCGGCUGGGCUGCGGGGGAAGCGCUCCCACCGCCUGGGAAGUGCACCGUCUCCAUGGAAACCGCGGAGGAGGUCACGGUAGCUGGGCCCCCGCGCGUCACCCCGCGCCUCGCCGGCUGCAGGCGCCCGGAUUGCGGCCUCCCAGGCGCCGCGGCCCGCGUGGACUCUACUCCGAGUUCCCCGCCCCCGCUCCACUCAGCCCAGCAGCUCAGGCCAUAUGACUCUGCCGGGACCCAACCGAGAACGGCGCACCUGGGCACCAGCGCGCUAGGCUGUUGUGCCUCUGUCCCCGGGCUCUAGCACGCGGGAAUGCGCCAAGAAACACGUGCCUAGCUCCGAGACGGGAACUUGUGCGGCAAGAACCCGCCGAGGGGCUCACUGCACUCGUGAAUACCCUGGGGGAUCGACCUAUAUAGGCGCACAACUCCAAAGCUCUUGCUGAAAUGAGACCACCCGUGUGAUUAAGAACUCUGGAGUCAGCCAAGUCCCUCCUGGGUAACUUACUAGCUAUGUGACUUCGGGCAAGUCACAACCUCUCGGCGUCUCAGCUUGCUCAUCAGCAAAAUGGAAUUGUGAGCCUUGAGACAAAGUACGUUAAACGCUUAACACUA
Long non-coding RNA from Suricata suricatta (meerkat), 886 nucleotides. RefSeq lists it as uncharacterized. The transcript has 2 exons. The record is from RefSeq and is a predicted model, not a curated record. NCBI's taxonomy places the organism in Eukaryota, Metazoa, Chordata, Mammalia, Carnivora, Herpestidae.